This 429-nucleotide ribosomal RNA is filed under the name Bacteroidota bacterium. Its description in RNAcentral is "Bacteroidetes bacterium partial 16S ribosomal RNA". It matches the Rfam family "Bacterial small subunit ribosomal RNA", at positions 355 to 776 of the family's 1533-position model. The record is from RNAcentral. Lineage: Bacteria; Pseudomonadati; Bacteroidota.
UAGGGAAUCUUCCGCAAUGGACGCAAGUCUGACGGAGCAACGCCGCGUGAGUGAAGAAGGAUUUCGGUUCGUAAAACUCUGUUGUUAGAGAAGAACAGCGCAUAGAGUAACUGUUAUGCGUGUGACGGUAUCUAACCAGAAAGCCACGGCUAACUACGUGCCAGCAGCCGCGGUAAUACGUAGGUGGCAAGCGUUGUCCGGAUUUAUUGGGCGUAAAGCGAGCGCAGGCGGUCAAUUAAGUCUGAUGUGAAAGCCCCCGGCUCAACCGGGGAGGGUCAUUGUAAGCUGGUUGACUUGAGAGCAGAAUAGGAGAGUGGAAUUCCAUGUGUAGCGGUGAAAUGCGUAGAUAUAUGGAGGAACACCAGUGGCGAAGGCGACUCACUGGUCUGUAACUGACGCUGAGGCUCGAAAGCGUGGGUAGCAAACAGG